UCUGAUGGUAACACCAACUGAAAACAAGCACCAAGCUACAGCCACUGAUCGGAACCCUAGAUCUGACCCCAAAACCUCACUCCGAGUUGACUCACCAACACAUGCACAGUCAACUCGGUGAUAACUCACCCUCUCCACUCAGCACAAACCCAGAUUUCUGCACACACAACACCAAAACCCUCACAGAAGAGGAUUAAGGCCAGAAAAGAGAAGGUUUGAAUAAAAGGUGAAU
Molecule: long non-coding RNA, 232 nt
Filed under: Erythranthe guttata (spotted monkey flower)
Lineage: Eukaryota; Viridiplantae; Streptophyta; Magnoliopsida; Lamiales; Phrymaceae
Description: long non-coding RNA (EGUT_LNC003906)
Source: RNAcentral